AGGCAUUGAAUCAUCUCACAUCAUGACAAGAGAAGAGAGACAACAUUUCCUUAUUUGCUCUUAAUUUAGUGAUUUGGUUCAGUCCAGAAGAUAAAGCAAAUGGAAAAGAGAGCAGAGAAAGAGUUCCAGCUCUAAUUGAAAAGAUGGCAAGUCAAGCUUCUACAAUUGUGUCAUGAGAGCACUAGGAUUGAACCCAGGGCCUGAUGCAUGCCAGGCAAGCACUCUGCCACUGAGCCACAUUCCCAGCCCUGUGCAUGCAAUUUUGCACACAAGUGAUGAGAAGCUGAGGAUCUGAGCAGUUUUCCGAGAUUCCCCAGAAUAUGGAAGCCUUGUGGUGCAUAUGGGAGAACUGACAAGUAUACCAGAAGCUUGGAGAUGGGGACAGAGUUCUCUGGCGACCAUGCAACUGACGGCAAUCACCCUAAAGAGAAGCAUUUAGAAGCUAUAAAACCUAAGUGCCCUGCCAUGCACCAUUACAUCGCACAGUUAUUCAAAUUUAGUAAAUUAAAUUAAAUAAUCUCAAAUAACUUGAUUUCGGGGCUUUAAAAAUUCAUCUCUAUGGUGCCCAGUAGUCAAUUUCCUUUAUUAUUAUUGUUCAUCAAGUAGAAUUUAUGUUUUUUAUGAAUCAAAAUCGUCGCCUGCCUCGCGGUCCGCUGCCGCUCAGGGCUCCCUCGGUCUAGUCAGUAGCUUGGUGCGCCAUCUACCGGCCGCCUCUGGUACCGCGUCUGGGAGCCCUCACAUCAGCCAGUGGCUCCGGAAUUGGGGGAGUCGACCUGAACGCCCGGGCGGCCACGUAGUCCUUCCUAUAAAAAUCAUAGACCGGACGAUGCUGUCAGCUACUGUGCUAACUACUCCCCUGGACUUUGCAAGUGUGGUUCGCUUGAUGUCUCGGAGACAACCCAGAGAGACUGGCUGCGGAGCCUGGAGGGACGUUUUCAGUCCCCCCUGCAAAGCCAACACAUUUGGUCGAGUUCUGAGGCUCCCAUUCUUUACCAAAGCCCUAAUGUUUGCCCCACAUAUCUGGAAAGCCAAGUCGUCCCUUCCUCAUCCAAACCCUUAUUCUGCUUAUCUAUACUACUGUUCAAAGGGGACAUUUGAUGUUUAGAGGGCUGCUGCUGGUGCUAAAAGAUCCCCUAGAAAAAGACAGUGAUGAAUUUUGUCAUGUUUUCAAUUUUUAAAAAAUAAUUCGUUUCUGGGGAAAUCUUUUUAACAUUUCUGAAUUGGAGUCAAAGUCAGGGGUGGUAAUGGCAAUGGUAAGUCCUGCGUUGUUUUAGAGGCUGGUUUAAAUUUACAUAUAGUUUAAUUAUAGUUUAACACAUGA
Long non-coding RNA from Sciurus carolinensis (gray squirrel), 1321 nucleotides. RefSeq lists it as uncharacterized. Lineage: Eukaryota; Metazoa; Chordata; Mammalia; Rodentia; Sciuridae. The record is from RefSeq and is a predicted model, not a curated record. The transcript has 4 exons.